RNAcentral lists this long non-coding RNA (975 nucleotides) under Homo sapiens (human). RNAcentral describes it as "HSALNT0346605". Lineage: Eukaryota; Metazoa; Chordata; Mammalia; Primates; Hominidae. The record is from RNAcentral.
CAGGACCAGGUAGAAAGUCAAAUAACCUAGGCCCUGCAACAUUGCACCCAGGUAAGAGAGCCAAAUCACCUAAGUGCUGGACCCAGGAAUGGAUUACUGUCUAUCCUACUUCCCCAAAAGAGAAUUAACAGCAUAGAAAUUAUGCCUAAAAGCCAGGUAUUUAUAUACCAGGUUUCUCUUACUGAUAACUCUGGAUUGAGUUGUUUCCAUUAAAUCAACAAUAUUAAAUGUCUUGGGGUGGAGCCAAGAUGGCCAAAUAAGAACAGCUCCAGUCUACAACUCCCAGCAUGAGCGACGCAGAAGACGGGUGAUUUCUGCAUUUCCAACUGAGCUACCGGAGUUUUAGCCAAUUCAGAUGCUUUGUUCCCCACAAUUUGGAACAUUCCUUUGGAUGUGACCAAGUCAGGAAAAGAUGGUCAUACUUCAUGGGAGAAAUGUGAAACAACAAAACCCCAAACAUAAACAAAAACAGUUUAGCAAAACAAACAAAUUCAUAUGAAUACCAAGUGUUCUAACAGUAAGGAGAAAUUAAAACCAGCUGGUUGGUAAUCUUAACUUUUAGUCAUUAAGGAACAUUUUUAAGACAAAACUCUAAUUCAGCUACUUACCUGGAAAUAAAGCUCAGGCUGAUGAUCGCUCUCUACCAUCAUAGAGAGGCAGGAAAAAACUCACACUCACCUUCUCUGUCAGAAGCAAGUUGAAACUCAAGAAAGAAGGUGCCUGCUCUCCAUCGUCAUGGAAGCAGGAAAACUUGCCUUCCUUGUUGGAAAUGAGUAAAACUUCAGAAAAGGAGUUGUACAGCAAAAUAACUUCAAAUAGCAACCAAAUUUUGGGAGAUCAGGGACUCUCUGGAGGGGAGAAGCUCCCCAAGCUCCACAAAUUAGCCUAUUGGCUUGAGAAAUAAAGAUAACCCAGGUUGGUAUCAAGCAAAAAUAAAAGAUUUAUCAAAGGUCAGGGCCAUCUUUGUAAUGUCCU